RNAcentral lists this long non-coding RNA (367 nucleotides) under Gouania willdenowi (blunt-snouted clingfish). RNAcentral's name for it is "lncRNA (ENSGWIG00000025096.1)". Lineage: Eukaryota; Metazoa; Chordata; Actinopteri; Blenniiformes; Gobiesocidae. The record is from RNAcentral.
CAACACUCAGCUUCGCACAGUAUGUAUUACGUUGUUACCUUUUACAUUUUCCUAAUAAACAUGAAUUGUUGUUCUGCUACGCUGAGUUAAGGUUUUGUUUGAGAAGCUGCGUCUUCACGAGCGCUGUGAGAACAAGAAACUUCCCAAGACGAUCAACAAACAGCAGCACUCGACAUCUGAGGCUGCGCUGCUGCAGCUCCAGGAUCUGCACCCUUUACCAAAGAUCAUUCUGGAGUAUAGACAAGUUCACAAAAUCAAGUCCACAUUUGUGGACGGGAUUCUCUCCUGUAUGAUGAGCAAGAGCUAUAUUUCCUCCACGUGGCACCAGACCAGCGCUGUGACUGGGAGAAUCUCUGCUAAACACCCG